This 1232-nucleotide ribosomal RNA is filed under the name metagenome. RNAcentral's name for it is "bacterial LSU rRNA". It matches the Rfam family "Bacterial large subunit ribosomal RNA", at positions 1564 to 2805 of the family's 2925-position model. The record is from RNAcentral.
UGAAUACGAGAUGCUACGGCGUCGAAGCAGUGUAUGUCAGACUUCCAAGAAAAGCUCGCAAUGUCAUAAAUAAAGAAUGCCUGUACCAUAACCGACACAGGUGGGUAGGUAGAGUAUACUAAGGGGCGCGAGAUAACUCUCUCUAAGGAACUCGGCAAAAUAACUCCGUAACUUCGGGAGAAGGAGUGCCUUCUAUUAGAAGGUUGCAAUAACAAGAUCCAAGCAACUGUUUAUCAAAAACACAGGUCUCCGCUAAGUCGUAAGACGAUGUAUGGGGGCUGACGCCUGCCCAGUGCCAGAAGGUUAAAGAAGUUGGUUAGCUUUGGCGAAGCUGAUGACUGAAGCCCUGGUGAACGGCGGCCGUAACAAUAACGGUCCUAAGGUAGCGAAAUUCCUUGUCGGGUAAGUUCCGACCCGCACGAAAGGCGUAAUGAUUUGGAUACUGUCUCGGAGAGGGACUCGGUGAAAUAGACUUGUCUGUGAAGAUGCGGACUACCUGCACCAGGACAGAAAGACCCUAUGAAGCUUUACUGUAACUUGAAAUUGAAAUUGGACUUUAUUUGCGCAGCAUAGGUGGAAGGCGUUGAGAUUACUCUUGCGGGAGUACUGGAGCCAUCAGUGAGAUACCACUCCUAUAAUGUUAGAUUUCUAACUUUGGAACAUGAUCUGGUCAAAGAACAGUUUCAGGCGGGCAGUUUGACUGGGGCGGUCGCCUCCCAAAUGGUAACGGAGGCGUACAAAGGUUUCCUCUGAACGGGUAGAAAUCGUAUCUAGAGUGUAAAGGCAUAAGGAAGCUUGACUGUGAGACCUACAAGUCGAGCAGGGACGAAAGUCGGUCUUAGUGAUCUGACGGUGCUGAGUGGAAAGGCCGUCACUCAACGGAUAAAAGUUACUCUAGGAUAACAGGCUGAUCUCCCCCAAGAGUUCACAUCGACGGGGAGGUUUGGCACCUCGAUGUCGGCUCAUCGCAUCCUGGGGCGGUAGUACGUCCCAAGGGUUGGGCUGUUCGCCCAUGAAAGCGGUACGCGAGCUGGGUUCAGAACGUCGUGAGACAGUUCGGUCCAUAUCCGGUGUAGGCGUUAGAAUAUUGAGAGGAGCCUUCUUUAGUACGAGAGGACCGAGAAGGACAUACCUCUGGUGUACCAGUUAUCGUGCCAACGGUAAACGCUGGGUAGCUAUGUAUGGAGAGGAUAACCGCUGAAAGCAUCUAAGUGGGAAGCCCACCUCAAGAU